This 274-nucleotide ribosomal RNA is filed under the name uncultured bacterium. Its description in RNAcentral is "partial 16S ribosomal RNA". It matches the Rfam family "Bacterial small subunit ribosomal RNA", at positions 523 to 796 of the family's 1533-position model. The record is from RNAcentral.
AUACGGAGGGUGCAAGCGUUAAUCGGAAUUACUGGGCGUAAAGGGCGCGUAGGCGGUCUAUCAAGUCAGGUGUGAAAUCCCACGGCUCAACCGUGGAGGUGCAUCUGAAACUGAUAGACUUGAGUAUGGGAGAGGAAAGUGGAAUUCCCGGUGUAGAGGUGAAAUUCGUAGAUAUCGGGAGGAACACCAGUGGCGAAGGCGACUCUCUGGACCAAUACUGACGCUGAGGCGCGAAAGCGUGGGGAGCAAACAGGAUUAGAAACCCUAGUAGUCC